AGCAGCCGCGGUAAUUCCAGCUCCAAUAGCGUAUAUUAAAGUUGUUGCAGUUAAAAAGCUCGUAGUUGAAUUUCGGGGUCAGUAGGUUGGUCGUGCCACCGGUACGUACUGGUCUCACUGAUUCCUCCUUCCUGAAGAACCGUAAUGCCAUUAAUUUGGUGUUGCGGGGAAACAGGACUGUUACUUUGAAAAAAUUAGAGUGUUUAAAGCAGGCUAACGCUUGAAUACAUUAGCAUGGAAUAAUGAAAUAGGACGAUCGAUCCUAUUUUGUUGGUUUCUAGGAUUGACGUAAUGAUUAAUAGGGAUAGUUGGGGGCAUUAGUAUUCAAUUGUCAGAGGUGAAAUUCUUGGAUUUAUUGAAGACUAACUACUGCGAAAGCAUUUGCCAAGGAUGUUUUCAUUAAUCAAGAACGAAAGUUAGGGGAUCGAAGACGAUCAGAUACCGUCGUAGUCUUAACCAUAAACUAUGCCGACUAGGGAUCGGAUGAUGUUAAUUUUAUAAUGACUCAUUUGGCGCCUUA
Molecule: ribosomal RNA, 520 nt
Filed under: uncultured Glomus
Lineage: Eukaryota; Fungi; Glomeromycota; Glomeromycetes; Glomerales; Glomeraceae
Description: SSU rRNA
Rfam family: Eukaryotic small subunit ribosomal RNA
Source: RNAcentral